UUUUUUGUUUUUGUUAGCUUACCACACUUUUUGUUAAGGGUCUUUUCCCCAGCACAGUUUAUAUACGCCAUUUGCAAGCAAAAGCUCUUAUAAUAAUUACUAUCACAAUGGAUGUCAAUAUACAAAAAUGACCAGUAACUUGGUCUAAGGCAAUAAACUAUGAACACCAUAGAACUUCAGUAACCUCCUAGUGCCACAUAGCCUAUGAUUAUUUUCAGUUUACUGUUCUUGAGAAAUUGCCUGCGAACGUCUUUGGCUUAUAUGAAAAGGACUGAAGCCAUUGGUCGUCAUCUUACCCAGUUCAGUUUGAUAGUAGGAACUGGCUAUAUCUAUCCUUCCUUUUCCUGCAUCGAACCAGCACCUACUUAGACUCUCACUGCUGACAUGCAAGACUUUUCUGAGACUGGAUUGCCUAGGAGGCCCAAUGAAUAAAACUAUUUCAAGAGCAAAAAGAGACGUAUCAACCAGAACCGCAAAUCAAGAGUGUCUGACCAUGCAAUACAGAUUAAAGUUAGAACUGAGAAGAAGGGAAGGGAAUGAACAGGCAAGAUUACUGGAUUGAUUUCUCAAGUGUGGAAAUUCUCCAGUCCCCUAAGCUGGGGGACAGAACUGGGCACAAGUCCUGAAUACAGAGGAACAAUCACUUCCUUCAACCUGCUGGUUACGCUGCUUCCCAGCAUAUGGCAAACCUUCAGUGUUACAAGGGCAGUAACAAAAUUCAAACCUUUGUUAUCUGUGAACUGUGAUUCAUAGUCAUUUAUCUAGAUAUGGAAAAAAUGGUAAGGUAAGUAACAGCAGCUUCACUCUGUUUCAUUUAUCAAGCACACAAUUUUAGUUAGCAGUGGGAAUCAACCACAUAAUUUUUACUGCAGAAGUCCAUAUUUUAUUGUAGUAACCCACUGUUAAAUAUUGAAAUAUCUAUUGUUAACAGGUAGUUCAUAAUUUUGUUUUAUUAUGAUAAAGUGAGCUGUUCGUAUUGUGUGAAAAAAUCUAGCUCCAAAUAUAAGUCUUCUAUGAACAGUGAGAAUAUAAAACCUCAACUACAGUUACUGCAUGUAACAGUAAGAGCUUCGGAAUGCUAUUUGAAAAUACCACUGUUUAAAAAAAAGUAAACAAGCACCAACAGUCUGAGACAAAGUUAGCAAUAGAAAUACUAUUUUUGCAGUAUAUUUAGUAGUAACAAUUAUUGCGGAUUUGAAUUAAAAUAUACUUUAGGAUAGGCAUUAAUUGAGCACAUAGGCAACAUGCACUGACGUUCUUUCCUGUCAGCUUUGGACUAUCUAUGCAUUUUAACAUUUAACUUCACUGCAUGCAAAAUCCAGAAAAGAAAAGUGUGCAUAAAAAUAUACAGGACAUUAUUUAUUUAUAUGUAAAACCUUUAUUCUAUUUUGUUAUUUUAGAUUAAAUCUCGUUUCAAUUCUAUUCUCUCAGGGAAGCACUAACAGUUUGAGCUCAGCGUGAAAGCCAUCAAACACUUGAGCUGAAAUUUAGAUUGGGCAAUUUUGCCUGGUGAAGUAGAAAAGGACAUGUGGAAUGGCAGAGAACAGAAUGGCUUAUGGAAAGGCAGAUGUUUUAAUAACUUGUUGUCUAGUGGGAGCUUCAAAUAUUUAAAUUUAAACACUGCAAUAUAUUAAAGGGCGUUGCUGUCAGGGAGGGUAUAUUCCUUUACCAUACGCAUCAGUGUAAAUGUGCAUAUUUAAUGGGCGUGCAGACUUUAAUACAGCAUUUAUUUUACAAUUGAAAUUAGAAUUAAUUGGAAGGUGUUAAAAAAUAUUACCCCAGGCUGGAAAAUCUGUCUCAGAUCUGCAUUGCACAAUACAGCAGGCCAAAGCCUGGGGAAUUUUCGGUCUAGAGUUUUAACUUGGACCUGUCUGCCUGUGUGAGUGGACUGAUUAGAUACUUGAGAUCUCCUGCCUACUAAGAUCCUUUUUGUUUCAACGUAUCAAUCUCAUGUUAAUUCACACUGGGUUUUAAAGUAUAUUUAUCCAUAAGCACAUUGCUGGAAGUAUGCAAUGAAUUUACCUUGGGUAAGGUCCGGAGAGAAGCUAGAAACCUCCUAAGUUAAUUUCUUUACAGAACAAAUCUCUCUGAAUGUCUGGAAAUAGUGAUUUAACUCUAAUUCACUCUGGCUGCAUAAUUUACAAUCUGGCAGAAUUAAGAUGACUAGGGAAGAAAAAUUUUAUUAAUAAACUAGCUUCCCAUAUGUUCAUGAACAACUGGGUCCUAUUAAAGAACAAUGAAGGCCUUGUCACUUGACUUUUGCAGAUAUGACACCACUAUUUAUAUACUGUAUGGUGACAGAGAACUCCUAAUUGAAGUCACCUUUCACAUUUGUCAUCUCAUAUGCUGUCCCUGUUUUCUAGAAAUAUGACACUACUUUUUACUUAUGGAAGUGAAAACAUAUUAGGUAUACCAAGCAGAAACAGGAAAUAAAUGCUGUUAUAAAAACGGCUUCAUUUACAGUUUAUCAGAUAUGUGUAUGCAUUAGAUGAAAAGACAGAUGGAAAUGUUUCUACAGAUAGGGUGACAAAUGAAAUUUGGGGUAAUAUUUUAUGAAAGGUAAUGGCUUAUAGAGUAUACUAGAGUGAUCUGAAAGGUCAUUAGUUUAACUAUAGAUUUGACUUUGUAAUAGUAUUUACUUGAUAGCAAUUACUGGACAGAUGUAAUAAAAAUCUUCAUAAAGGACAACCAAA
Molecule: long non-coding RNA, 2693 nt
Organism: Strigops habroptila (Kakapo)
Lineage: Eukaryota; Metazoa; Chordata; Aves; Psittaciformes; Psittacidae
Exons: 4
Source: RefSeq, a predicted model, not a curated record